GAUGAACGCUGGCGGCGUGCUUAACACAUGCAAGUCGAACGGAAAGGCUCCUGCUUGCAGGGGUACUCGAGUGGCGAAAGGGUGAGUAACACGUGGGUGAUCUGCCCUGCACUUCGGGAUAAGCCUGGGAAACUGGGUCUAAUACCGGAUAGGACGAUGGUUUGGAUGCCAUUGUGGAAAGUUUUUUCGGUGUGGGAUGAGCUCGCGGCCUAUCAGCUUGUUGGUGGGGUAAUGGCCUACCAAGGCGUCGACGGGUAGCCGGCCUGAGAGGGUGUACGGCCACAUUGGGACUGAGAUACGGCCCAGACUCCUACGGGAGGCAGCAGUGGGGAAUAUUGCACAAUGGGCGCAAGCCUGAUGCAGCGACGCCGCGUGGGGGAUGACGGCCUUCGGGUUGUAAACUCCUUUCGCUAGGGACGAAGCGCAAGUGACGGUACCUGGAGAAGAAGCACCGGCUAACUACGUG
RNAcentral lists this ribosomal RNA (466 nucleotides) under uncultured bacterium. Its description in RNAcentral is "partial 16S ribosomal RNA". It matches the Rfam family "Bacterial small subunit ribosomal RNA", at positions 28 to 507 of the family's 1533-position model. The record is from RNAcentral.